This 1514-nucleotide ribosomal RNA is filed under the name human gut metagenome. RNAcentral describes it as "bacterial LSU rRNA". It matches the Rfam family "Bacterial large subunit ribosomal RNA", at positions 1326 to 2925 of the family's 2925-position model. The record is from RNAcentral.
AAUCAUAAUGGCCGAAAAUCUAAGGUUUCCUGGGGAAGGUUCGUCCGCCCAGGGUAAGCCGGGAGCUAAGGCGAGGCCGCAAGGCGUAGUCGAUGCACAUACGGUAGAAAUUCCGUAGCCGGCUCAACUGUUAAGCAUACUGACACAUGAGAGUAGCUCUACCGGGCGUUGGUUGCCCCGGGCGUAAGCGAGCCGAAUGAGGCGAAGUGAGUAAAUCUUGUGGCGAGAAAAGGUGUGUGUAUUGGUUGGGCUGCCCGUACCGCAAACCGACACAGGUAGAUGAGGAGAAGAUCCUAAGGCCAUCGGGAGAAGGGUUGUUAAGGAACUAGGCAAAUUGACCCCGUAACUUCGGGAGAAGGGGUGCCUACGAGAGUAGGCCGCAGAGAAUCGGCCCAAGCAACUGUUUACCAAAAACACAGGUCUCUGCUAAAUCGAAAGAUGACGUAUAGGGGCUGACGCCUGCCCGGUGCUGGAAGGUUAAGAGGAGGACUUAGCGCAAGCGAAGGUCUGAAUUUAAGCCCCAGUAAACGGCGGCCGUAACUAUAACGGUCCUAAGGUAGCGAAAUUCCUUGUCAGGUAAGUUCUGACCCGCACGAAAGGCGUAAUGAUUUGGGCACUGUCUCAACAGCCCGCCCGGCGAAAUUGUAGUACCGGUGAAGAUGCCGGUUACCCGCAACUAGACGGAAAGACCCCAUGGAGCUUUACUGCAGCUUAAUACUGAGAUUCGGUAAAUCAUGUACAGGAUAGGUGGGAGACUAAGAAGCCAGGCCGUCAGGUUUGGUGGAGUCGCCCUUGGGAUACCACCCUUGGUUUGCUGGGUUUCUAACCUGCGGCCCUGAAUCGGGUCGGGGGACACUGUUAGGCGGGCAGUUUGACUGGGGCGGUCGCCUCCUAAAAUGUAACGGAGGCGCUCAAAGGUUGGCUCAGCAUGGAUGGAAACCAUGCAAUGAGUGUAAACGUAUAAGCCAGCCUGACUGCGAGACCGACGGGUCGAGCAGAGACGAAAGUCGGAGUUAGUGAUCCGGUGGUAUGUGAGUGGAAAUGCCAUCGCUCAACGGAUAAAAGCUACCCUGGGGAUAACAGGCUGAUCUCCCCCAAGCGUCCACAGCGACGGGGAGGUUUGGCACCUCGAUGUCGGCUCGUCGCAUCCUGGGGCUGAAUUAGGUCCCAAGGGUUUGGCUGUUCGCCAAUUAAAGCGGCACGCGAGCUGGGUUCAGAACGUCGUGAGACAGUUCGGUCCCUAUCUGUUGCGGGCGUAGGAGAUUUGAAGGGAGCUGACCUUAGUACGAGAGGACCGGGUUGGACGUACCUCUGGUGUACCAGUUGUUCUGCCAAGGGCAUGGCUGGGUAGCUACGUACGGACGAGAUAAACGCUGAAGGCAUCUAAGCGUGAAACUCUCCCUGAGAUAAGAUCUCCACUGAGGCUCGACGUAGACUAUGUCGUUGAUAGGUCAGAGGUGGAAGUGCAGCAAUGCAUGGAGCUGACUGAUACUAAUAAGCCGAAAGCUUGACCA